Molecule: ribosomal RNA, 2902 nt
Filed under: Escherichia coli
Lineage: Bacteria; Pseudomonadati; Pseudomonadota; Gammaproteobacteria; Enterobacterales; Enterobacteriaceae
Also listed under: 1 other name
Description: bacterial LSU rRNA
Rfam family: Bacterial large subunit ribosomal RNA
Source: RNAcentral
UUAAGCGACUAAGCGUACACGGUGGAUGCCCUGGCAGUCAGAGGCGAUGAAGGACGUGCUAAUCUGCGAUAAGCGUCGGUAAGGUGAUAUGAACCGUUAUAACCGGCGAUUUCCGAAUGGGGAAACCCAGUGUGUUUCGACACACUAUCAUUAACUGAAUCCAUAGGUUAAUGAGGCGAACCGGGGGAACUGAAACAUCUAAGUACCCCGAGGAAAAGAAAUCAACCGAGAUUCCCCCAGUAGCGGCGAGCGAACGGGGAGCAGCCCAGAGCCUGAAUCAGUGUGUGUGUUAGUGGAAGCGUCUGGAAAGGCGCGCGAUACAGGGUGACAGCCCCGUACACAAAAAUGCACAUACUGUGAGCUCGAUGAGUAGGGCGGGACACGUGGUAUCCUGUCUGAAUAUGGGGGGACCAUCCUCCAAGGCUAAAUACUCCUGACUGACCGAUAGUGAACCAGUACCGUGAGGGAAAGGCGAAAAGAACCCCGGCGAGGGGAGUGAAAAAGAACCUGAAACCGUGUACGUACAAGCAGUGGGAGCCUCUUUAUGGGGUGACUGCGUACCUUUUGUAUAAUGGGUCAGCGACUUAUAUUCUGUAGCAAGGUUAACCGAAUAGGGGAGCCGAAGGGAAACCGAGUCUUAACUGGGCGUUAAGUUGCAGGGUAUAGACCCGAAACCCGGUGAUCUAGCCAUGGGCAGGUUGAAGGUUGGGUAACACUAACUGGAGGACCGAACCGACUAAUGUUGAAAAAUUAGCGGAUGACUUGUGGCUGGGGGUGAAAGGCCAAUCAAACCGGGAGAUAGCUGGUUCUCCCCGAAAGCUAUUUAGGUAGCGCCUCGUGAAUUCAUCUCCGGGGGUAGAGCACUGUUUCGGCAAGGGGGUCAUCCCGACUUACCAACCCGAUGCAAACUGCGAAUACCGGAGAAUGUUAUCACGGGAGACACACGGCGGGUGCUAACGUCCGUCGUGAAGAGGGAAACAACCCAGACCGCCAGCUAAGGUCCCAAAGUCAUGGUUAAGUGGGAAACGAUGUGGGAAGGCCCAGACAGCCAGGAUGUUGGCUUAGAAGCAGCCAUCAUUUAAAGAAAGCGUAAUAGCUCACUGGUCGAGUCGGCCUGCGCGGAAGAUGUAACGGGGCUAAACCAUGCACCGAAGCUGCGGCAGCGACACUAUGUGUUGUUGGGUAGGGGAGCGUUCUGUAAGCCUGUGAAGGUGUGCUGUGAGGUAUGCUGGAGGUAUCAGAAGUGCGAAUGCUGACAUAAGUAACGAUAAAGCGGGUGAAAAGCCCGCUCGCCGGAAGACCAAGGGUUCCUGUCCAACGUUAAUCGGGGCAGGGUGAGUCGACCCCUAAGGCGAGGCCGAAAGGCGUAGUCGAUGGGAAACAGGUUAAUAUUCCUGUACUUGGUGUUACUGCGAAGGGGGGACGGAGAAGGCUAUGUUGGCCGGGCGACGGUUGUCCCGGUUUAAGCGUGUAGGCUGGUUUUCCAGGCAAAUCCGGAAAAUCAAGGCUGAGGCGUGAUGACGAGGCACUACGGUGCUGAAGUAACAAAUGCCCUGCUUCCAGGAAAAGCCUCUAAGCAUCAGGUAACAUCAAAUCGUACCCCAAACCGACACAGGUGGUCAGGUAGAGAAUACCAAGGCGCUUGAGAGAACUCGGGUGAAGGAACUAGGCAAAAUGGUGCCGUAACUUCGGGAGAAGGCACGCUGAUAUGUAGGUGAAGUCCCUUGCGGAUGGAGCUGAAAUCAGUCGAAGAUACCAGCUGGCUGCAACUGUUUAUUAAAAACACAGCACUGUGCAAACACGAAAGUGGACGUAUACGGUGUGACGCCUGCCCGGUGCCGGAAGGUUAAUUGAUGGGGUUAGCGGUAACGCGAAGCUCUUGAUCGAAGCCCCGGUAAACGGCGGCCGUAACUAUAACGGUCCUAAGGUAGCGAAAUUCCUUGUCGGGUAAGUUCCGACCUGCACGAAUGGCGUAAUGAUGGCCAGGCUGUCUCCACCCGAGACUCAGUGAAAUUGAACUCGCUGUGAAGAUGCAGUGUACCCGCGGCAAGACGGAAAGACCCCGUGAACCUUUACUAUAGCUUGACACUGAACAUUGAGCCUUGAUGUGUAGGAUAGGUGGGAGGCUUUGAAGUGUGGACGCCAGUCUGCAUGGAGCCGACCUUGAAAUACCACCCUUUAAUGUUUGAUGUUCUAACGUUGGCCCCUGAUCGGGGUUGCGGACAGUGUCUGGUGGGUAGUUUGACUGGGGCGGUCUCCUCCUAAAGAGUAACGGAGGAGCACGAAGGUUGGCUAAUCCUGGUCGGACAUCAGGAGGUUAGUGCAAUGGCAUAAGCCAGCUUGACUGCGAGCGUGACGGCGCGAGCAGGUGCGAAAGCAGGUCAUAGUGAUCCGGUGGUUCUGAAUGGAAGGGCCAUCGCUCAACGGAUAAAAGGUACUCCGGGGAUAACAGGCUGAUACCGCCCAAGAGUUCAUAUCGACGGCGGUGUUUGGCACCUCGAUGUCGGCUCAUCACAUCCUGGGGCUGAAGUAGGUCCCAAGGGUAUGGCUGUUCGCCAUUUAAAGUGGUACGCGAGCUGGGUUUAGAACGUCGUGAGACAGUUCGGUCCCUAUCUGCCGUGGGCGCUGGAGAACUGAGGGGGGCUGCUCCUAGUACGAGAGGACCGGAGUGGACGCAUCACUGGUGUUCGGGUUGUCAUGCCAAUGGCACUGCCCGGUAGCUAAAUGCGGAAGAGAUAAGUGCUGAAAGCAUCUAAGCACGAAACUUGCCCCGAGAUGAGUUCUCCCUGACCCUUUAAGGGUCCUGAAGGAACGUUGAAGACGACGACGUUGAUAGGCCGGGUGUGUAAGCGCAGCGAUGCGUUGAGCUAACCGGUACUAAUGAACCGUGAGGCUUAACCUU